GAUGAACGCUGGCGGCGUGCCUAAUACAUGCAAGUCGAGCGGACGGACGAGAAUCUUGCGUCGCUGAUGUUAGCGGCGGACGGGUGAGUAACACGUGUAUAACCUACCUAUAUGACGGGGAUAACUUCGGGAAACCGGAGCUAAUACCGUAUAAUAUCUUGAACCGCGGGGGUCAAAGGUAAGAUACGGCGUUGCUGUCUCGACUAGAGGCAUCCGCGCUGUUUUAGCGAGUUGGUAAGGUAACGGCUUUCCAAGGCAACGAUGCGUAACCGAGCUGAGAGGGUGGUAGGCGACACUGGAAGGUAGACGCGGUCCAGGCUCCUACGAGAGGCACCAGUCGGGAAUGGGAGGCAACGGGCGAAAACAUGACGGAGCGACGGCGCGUGUGUGGUGACGGUCCCCGGAUCGGGAUGAUCGGUUUUUGGGGAAAAACAUAUGUGUAAGUAAACGAGGAGAUAUUGACGGUAACUGAUCAGGAAGCACCGGCUAACUACGUG
RNAcentral lists this ribosomal RNA (497 nucleotides) under uncultured bacterium. RNAcentral's name for it is "partial 16S ribosomal RNA". It matches the Rfam family "Bacterial small subunit ribosomal RNA", at positions 28 to 507 of the family's 1533-position model. The record is from RNAcentral.